This 1579-nucleotide long non-coding RNA is filed under the name Rattus norvegicus (Norway rat). RNAcentral describes it as "long non-coding RNA NONRATT000911". Lineage: Eukaryota; Metazoa; Chordata; Mammalia; Rodentia; Muridae. The record is from RNAcentral.
UAGGAAUCAGAAGUGCCCUGGAUGCUACAUGCUAUUUGGCUUUACUUGAAGAGCAGAGAAAACUAUCAUAGCUGUUGAACAAGAAUCCAGUCAAAUGAAAAACAAAAAGGAGAAACCCAUUUACACUGGCUUUUUGCCUCUACAAAGGUCCUACAGGGGGAGAUGACAUUUACCCCAGUAGCCUAAGAACCUGGAGAAUUUGCCCCUAGGCAUGUGUCUUGAUCCUACCCCCAGGAUCAGCGAAGUGGAGCCCAAAUACUAUGCAGAUGGGGAAGAUGCAUAUGCAAUGAAGCGGGACCUCACGCAGAUGGCUGAUGAGGUAAGAGUUCAGCCAGGCCAGGGCAGCAAUUCCAGCAGUAGAGGAGAUUCUGUAAUUGGGAAAGGUGUCUAUUUUCAGUGAGACCACAGAAAGUACAGAUGUCAAAGAGCUGUGAGACAGAGUGAGGCAGUGGCGACUAGAGGCAAGACCGAGACUGAGUGUCAGCUUUUGUGGUUGUAAAGCUAGGAAUCAGAGCCCCUCUUUCCCUUACUCCCUAAGCUGUCAAGUCAGGGCAUGGCCUUCAUUGACUGUAAAGGAGGCCAUGGGAUGCUUUCUGGGGAAGAAGUCUGGAGAUGGGUGGAAUAGGAGAGACAGUAGGAAGAUUUUUUUUUUAACAGAGGAAUUGGGACUACUAUGGUUGGGGGCAGCCUGCUCAGAUCUAGGAUUAAACUGGGCUAGGGAGAAAGGGUCUCUCUGACCAAGCCUCCUGGAAAGGCACUGCUCUGUCUUGGGGGCUUCCCAGCAGCGUAUUUGAGGGCAAUAGAACUCAUGUCAUUUUACAGAUGAAGCAGGCUUAGGACAGAGGUAGGAUUGAACUACAUUUCUACCCAGUCCUAUUUCCUGCCUUGGCCCUACCACUUCUCACUGUGUCCCUUCCCCCAGCCAGCCCCAGGGCCUGGCUCCUCUUGUCUCCUGUCUGGAGACUUAGGCCCUGUCUCUUUCCACCCGCUUCCCUCUGGGCUCCCGGCGGCAGCUGAGGCGGCACCUGGAGCUGAAGGAAAAGGGCAGGCACAUGGUGCUGUCGGCCAUGGAGAACAAGGCGGAGAACAAAGGCAACGUGCUUCUGAGCUCAGGAGAGGCCUGUCGUGAGGAGAAGGGCCUGACUGCUGAGGAUAGUGGUGGGGACAGCAAGGACCUCAGUGAGGUCAGUGAGACCACAGAAAGCACAGAUGUCAAAGACAGCUCAGAGGCCUCUGAUUCUGCCUCCUAGAACCUGCCCUACCUGGUCCCAACCUCACCCCAUGUGCUUUUUACAAUAAAUGUCACCCAGUGGCCUUGGGAAAUUUGUGAAUGUGCAUAGUGGGGUAUGCUUUUUUUCCAGCUCCUAUAUGGCAGGGAUACUAUCUUCACAGCCCAGAGCGUACUGAGCUCACAAGUCAAAUGUUUGAGGAUGGGACCCCAAUCUGGCUUCCUUCAACAACUGAGUUGGAGUUGGCAGAUAAACUGUCUUGGGUGCCAUAUUCUCAUGUCACUUUCCUGGCCUUCUACAGAUCUCUGUAACAUCUUUAGUAAUUUUCUAGGGCUGAACAAAAUGAUUUC